UAUUUGUAUAAACGGUUUUAUAUAUAAUGCCUUUCUCGACAGUUCUAGUUUCUUCAGAGCUCAAAUCCCUGCAAUUUUCUAGAAUACGAGAAAGAAACAUGAAGCCGAUGCAGAUGGAUUUCUUCGCGGACAUGGAGGAGCAGGGAUCUACAGUUGCGAUGGACGUGGAUGACGUUGAUCCACUGGAGAUCUUCGGCGAAGGUGUUAUCAACGUCGACAAUAAGCUUGCCGACGCCGAUUUCUUCAACAAUUUCGAGGACGAUUUCGAUGACUCCGAUAUCAAUUAAUCCUCUUUUAUUCCCUACCGCAACUGCCUAUAUACCUUUUCUUAUGUAUCUAUUGUGGGAAAUUUGAGGGGGAAAAAAGAGGAGAUACGGUAUGCAUGGAACGAUUUGUCGUUUGGGUGAUUAUAUACUUUAAUUGAAUUUGUAUGGAUGCAUUAUGCACUGUGUCUCAUGUGAAGCUAUUAUUGCCCUUGUUGCUCUUCCCGCUUUUUAGACGCCUGAAAAUAUAUGCUGGUUUUAAGUGGUUUCAGGGUCUAUCUGGCAUUUUACUGAAAUGCGACUUUAUUUAUUUGCUGAGGAAAUUUAGGUUCAAAAGAGAAGCAUAUCAGGUACACAUUAUUGGGAUUUUAUGUAUGGAUUUCUGUGUUUGUGGUGCAAUAAUCUCACUGCUGAUUGUACAGUGGGACGAUAAAUUAAAAUAUUAUAGAUGGUUUUAUAUGAG
This 726-nucleotide unclassified non-coding RNA is filed under the name Hevea brasiliensis (rubber tree). Lineage: Eukaryota; Viridiplantae; Streptophyta; Magnoliopsida; Malpighiales; Euphorbiaceae. The record is from RNAcentral.